AUUGAACGCUGGCGGCAUGCGUAACACAUGCAAGUCGAACGGUGUUUGGUGCUUGCACCAGACAUAGUGGCGGACGGGUGAGUAAUGCGUAGGAAUCUGUCUUAGAGAGGGGGACAACCCGAGGAAACUUGGGCUAAAACCGCAUAUUCUCGAGAGAGGAAAGCAGGGGACCGGAAACGGCCUUGUGCUCUAAGGUGAGCCUACGUCGGAUUAGCUAGUUGGUAGGGUAAAAGCCUACCAAGGCGAUGAUCUGUAGCUGGUCUGAGAGGACGGACAGCCACACUGGGACUGAGACACGGCCCAGACUCCUACGGGAGGCAGCAGUGGGGAAUAUUGGACAAUGGGGGGAACCCGUGAUCCAGCGAUGCCGCGUGUGUGAAGAAGGCCUGCGGGUUGUAAAGCACUUUCAGUGGGAAAGAGAAGCGUCUUGUGAAUAAUGGGACGUGGGAGACGUUACUCACAGAAGAAGCACCGGCUAACUCUGUGCCAGCAGCCGCGGUAAU
RNAcentral lists this ribosomal RNA (503 nucleotides) under uncultured bacterium. RNAcentral describes it as "bacterial SSU rRNA". It matches the Rfam family "Bacterial small subunit ribosomal RNA", at positions 29 to 524 of the family's 1533-position model. The record is from RNAcentral.